This 513-nucleotide ribosomal RNA is filed under the name uncultured bacterium. RNAcentral describes it as "partial 16S ribosomal RNA". It matches the Rfam family "Bacterial small subunit ribosomal RNA", at positions 28 to 523 of the family's 1533-position model. The record is from RNAcentral.
GAUGAACGCUGGCGGCGUGCCUAAUACAUGCAAGUCGAGCGAACAGACGAGGAGCUUGCUCCUCUAACGUUAGCGGCGGACGGGUGAGUAACACGUGGAUAACCUACCCAUAAGACUGGGAUAACUUCGGGAAACCGGAGCUAAUACCGGAUAAUAUAUUGAACCGCAUGGUUCAAUAGCGAAAGACGGUUUUGCUGUCACUUAUAGAUGGAUCCGCGCCGCAUUAGCUAGUUGGUAAGGUAACAGCUUACCAAGGCAACGAUGCGUAGCCGACCUGAGAGGGUGAUCGGCCACACUGGAACUGAGACACGGUCCAGACUCCUACGGGAGGCAGCAGUAGGGAAUCUUCCGCAAUGGGCGAAAGCCUGACGGAGCAACGCCGCGUGAGUGAUGAAGGUCUUCGGAUCGUAAAACUCUGUUAUUAGGGAAGAACAAAUGUGUAAGUAACUAUGCACGUCUUGACGGUACCUAAUCAGAAAGCCACGGCUAACUACGUGCCAGCAGCCGCCGUAA